GGGUGCUGCGAAAUGAAGGCUUGAGAGGAUGGUGUAUUAUUCCCUGCCCCGUGCCCGACACUUUCUGGAAAGCAGCAAAACAGUCACAGGUGGAGGGGAGCACACCUCACUGGCACGCAGAGCACAAACUGACAGCACCCCGUCUGCUGAGGAUGCCAGUAAGGUGCCGCCUGGACAUCCACACAGCUCUGGGGUCGUCGUCGUUAUUUACAAAAACAAAAUAAAUGGAAGGAAGAUGGGCAAAAUCUGCUGUUGCUGGGGAGGCUGUUUCAAAAAGAGCUGGCACGUGUUCCCUACCGAAUCCAGUCCAAGGAUUGUUUGUGUCUUUAGAAAGCAAGUGCCAUCGCUGCUUGAUGCAAUGAGCUGAGCUCUGGGAACCAGCACUCGUUAGCACCAGUUUCACUGAAAAAGACAGAAAGAAAGAAGAAGGACAACUAGGAUGAGAGAGAUUUUCCUCCAAAAAAAAAAAAAAAAAAAAAAAAAAGUACUUUUAAAAGAAGCCCCAUUAUGUAAAAGCACAGCAUUGUCUCAGUGUCUCUAUCCAGAGCUUCAUGCACAGCUCAUUUGGCAUGGGAAGGGGAAGAAAGAACCCCUCCUCCAAACAUAGUCCUUGGAACAUAAACAUCCCAUACAUCCCAUAACACAGGAGCCAUAGAGCUCUCCUCUGCUUUCAAAUGCAAGUUUGUAACUUUCAGCCAAUUUCUACUCUUUGCUUUCUCAGAUGAUUUUAAGAUUUAAACCUUGGGAGUAUCUAAAAUAACAAAGGCCUCGAAGCUCUCAACGUGGCAAUGAAAUCUUCAUCUUGAACUCAUGGCAGAGAUGUUCCAGGCCGACUCUUGUGAAUCAUGAAAAUCUUAAUCUGAACAUCAGAAAGGAGAGGCACCUCCUCUGUUACUCUUCUUUAUUCCUUUAUGCUUUUCCCACUUCAUUUUAUUUAAAUAGGGUUACAUUCAUAGUAAUAUAGUCAUGGUGGUGGCUGUUGUUUUCAUUGUUGCUAUUAUUAUUAUUAUUGUUGUUGUUAUUAUUAUUUUAACUCAG
Molecule: long non-coding RNA, 1038 nt
Filed under: Gallus gallus (chicken)
Lineage: Eukaryota; Metazoa; Chordata; Aves; Galliformes; Phasianidae
Description: lncRNA (ENSGALG00010018238.1)
Source: RNAcentral